Long non-coding RNA from Oncorhynchus keta (chum salmon), 266 nucleotides. RefSeq lists it as uncharacterized. The record is from RefSeq and is a predicted model, not a curated record. NCBI's taxonomy places the organism in Eukaryota, Metazoa, Chordata, Actinopteri, Salmoniformes, Salmonidae. The transcript is spliced from 4 exons.
GGACCAUGGCAGGUCUAUGAUAUGUCUAUGACAGGACCAUGGCAGGUCUAUGACAGGUCUAUGGCAGGUCUAUGACUGGUCUAUGACAGGUCUAUGACUGGUCUAUGACAGGUCUAUGACUGGUCUAUGACAGGUCUAUGACAGGACCAUGGCAGGUCUAUGACAGGUCUAUGGCAGGUCUAUGACAGGUCUAUGACAGGACCAUGGCAGGUCUAUGACAGGUCUAUGACAGGACCAUGGCAUGUCUAUGACAGGUCUAUGGCAGG